AUGAAGACCUCGACCGUCGUUGGCAGGGUGCAGGCCAAGGGGCACCACUUGCUGAGAAUCGACGGAUACUCCCACACGAAGGCGAUGGUGGCCACCGGCGACCACGUCCUGUCCUGCGGAUUCCCCAUCGGCGGCCGCACCUGGCGCGUCAAGUACUAUCCCAACGGCUCCGCCAAGGAGCAUGCCGACUGGAUCUCCGUCAGCCUUCUUGUUGACCCCGACACCAAGGCAGCAUCCGUGAAGGCGCGCUUCCGCUUCAGCCUUCUUGACAUGGGCGGCGAACCGGUGCCGGAAUACGUCACCAGCAGCAGCGCGAUAUGA
RNAcentral lists this ribosomal RNA (321 nucleotides) under Triticum aestivum (bread wheat). RNAcentral describes it as "partial small subunit ribosomal RNA". The record is from RNAcentral. Lineage: Eukaryota; Viridiplantae; Streptophyta; Magnoliopsida; Poales; Poaceae.